UACGUAGGGGGCAAGCGUUGUCCGGAAUAAUUGGGCGUAAAGGGCGCGUAGGCGGCAAGGCAAGUCAGCAGUGGAAGUCCCAUUUUCAAGGUGGGGAGGGCUGUUGAUCUGGAAUGCGGUUGGGGAAGACAGAAUUCCUGGUGUAGCGGUAGAAUGCGCAGAGAUCAGGAGGAAUACCGAAGGCGAAGGCAGUCUUCCAAGCCGUUAUUGACGCUCAACUGCGAAGGUGUGGGUAUCAAACAGGAUUAGAUACCCUGGUAGUCCCUGAG
RNAcentral lists this ribosomal RNA (269 nucleotides) under uncultured prokaryote. RNAcentral describes it as "partial 16S ribosomal RNA". It matches the Rfam family "Bacterial small subunit ribosomal RNA", at positions 524 to 801 of the family's 1533-position model. The record is from RNAcentral.